Long non-coding RNA from Clupea harengus (Atlantic herring), 361 nucleotides. Lineage: Eukaryota; Metazoa; Chordata; Actinopteri; Clupeiformes; Clupeidae. The record is from Ensembl.
CAGAUAGGCUACCGCUGGGCCUGCCCUACCGCAACGAUACGCAUCAAGGAGGAUGGAUGGGAGGAAGAGGCCAGGAGGGGCUGAAAAAGCCAGGUUAAAAAAAAGAAAGGCAUUGGUGGAGGAUGCUGCCAAAUGUGCCAAGCUUACCGAUUUAUUUUCAAGAGGACAAACACAAGUGGCAACUGGAUUUUUGUCUGGCCUAUGUUGUAAUAACCCUUGUAGAGGAUCAUUUUGGGAAGACGCAAAUAGGACCCUUUAAAUUCGCUGCAUAGCCAACGUCAGGCAAUGUUUCUCCCCAAACCUCCAAAGAGAUGAUGCUGCUCAGGGUACUGAGCCCCUGACUAAGGUCAGUCACUUUAAA